GGUGUGCUGAUUAUUGGGGGUGAAUUCCCCGA
Molecule: small RNA, 32 nt
Filed under: Bombyx mori (domestic silkworm)
Lineage: Eukaryota; Metazoa; Arthropoda; Insecta; Lepidoptera; Bombycidae
Description: ovarian small RNA-2803
Source: RNAcentral